GAAGGCCCAGACAGCCAGGAUGUUGGCUUAGAAGCAGCCAUCAUUUAAAGAAAGCGUAAUAGCUCACUGGUCGAGUCGGCCUGCGCGGAAGAUGUAACGGGGCUAAACCAUGCACCGAAGCUGCGGCAGCGAACGUAUCACCCAAGACAACUUUACGGAGUUGACGAUUGACGGAGCGAAGCGACGUCAAAGCGUUCAUUAAAGUCGAGUUGGCUUAGGGAUACGUUCGUUGGGUAGGGGAGCGUUCUGUAAGCCUGUGAAGGUGUGUCGUGAGGCAUGCUGGAGGUAUCAGAAGUGCGAAUGCUGACAUAAGUAACGAUAAAGCGGGUGAAAAGCCCGCUCGCCGGAAGACCAAGGGUUCCUGUCCAACGUUAAUCGGGGCAGGGUGAGUCGACCCCUAAGGCGAGGCCGAAAGGCGUAGUCGAUGGGAAACGGGUUAAUAUUCCCGUACUUGGUGUUACUGCGAAGGGGGGACGGAGAAGGCUAUGUUGGCCGGGCGACGGUUGUCCCGGUUUAAGCGUGUAGGUGUGUGUUCCAGGUAAAUCCGGUUCACUUUAACACUGAGGCGUGACGACGAGGCACUACGGUGCUGAAGCAACAAAUGCCCUGCUUCCAGGAAAAGCCUCUAAGCAUCAGGUAACACGAAAUCGUACCCCAAACCGACACAGGUGGUCAGGUAGAGAAUACCAAGGCGCUUGAGAGAAUUCGGGUGAAGGAACUAGGCAAAAUGGUGCCGUAACUUCGGGAGAAGGCACG
Molecule: ribosomal RNA, 756 nt
Filed under: Salmonella enterica subsp. enterica serovar Saintpaul
Lineage: Bacteria; Pseudomonadati; Pseudomonadota; Gammaproteobacteria; Enterobacterales; Enterobacteriaceae
Description: partial 23S ribosomal RNA
Rfam family: Bacterial large subunit ribosomal RNA
Source: RNAcentral